GAUGAACGCUGGCGGCGUGCCUAAUACAUGCAAGUCGAGCGAACAGAUAAGGAGCUUGCUCCUUUGACGUUAGCGGCGGACGGGUGAGUAACACGUGGGUAACCUACCUAUAAGACUGGAAUAACUCCGGGAAACCGGGGCUAAUGCCGGAUAAUAUUUAGAACCGCAUGGUUCUAAAGUGAAAGAUGGUUUUACUAUCACUUAUAGAUGGACCCGCGCCGUAUUAGCUAGUUGGUGGGGUAAUGGCUUACCAAGGCAACGAUACGUAGCCGACCUGAGAGGGUGAUCGGCCACACUGGAACUGAGACACGGUCCAGACUCCUACGGGAGGCAGCAGUAGGGAAUCUUCCGCAAUGGGCGAAAGCCUGACGGAGCAACGCCGCGUGGGUGAUGAAGGUCUUCGGAUCGUAAAACUCUGUUAUUAGGGAAGAACAAAUGUGUAAGUAACUGUGCACGUCUUGACGGUACCUAAUCAGAAAGCCACGGCUAACUACGUGCCAGCAGCCGCGGUAAUACGUAGGUGG
RNAcentral lists this ribosomal RNA (524 nucleotides) under uncultured bacterium. RNAcentral describes it as "bacterial SSU rRNA". It matches the Rfam family "Bacterial small subunit ribosomal RNA", at positions 28 to 534 of the family's 1533-position model. The record is from RNAcentral.